Molecule: ribosomal RNA, 866 nt
Filed under: uncultured Methanosaeta sp.
Lineage: Archaea; Methanobacteriati; Methanobacteriota; Methanomicrobia; Methanotrichales; Methanotrichaceae
Description: bacterial SSU rRNA
Rfam family: Archaeal small subunit ribosomal RNA
Source: RNAcentral
UUCCGGUUGAUCCUGCCAGAGGUUACUGCUAUCGAGGUUCGACUAAGCCAUGCGAGUCGAAUGUAGCAAUACAUGGCGUACUGCUCAGUAACACGUGGACAACCUGCCCUUAGGUCGGGUAUAAACCCGGGAAACUGGGUAUAAUCCCCGAUAGGUCUCGGCUGCUGGAAUGCAUCGAGAUUAAAAGCUCCGGCGCCUAAGGAUGGGUCUGCGGCCUAUCAGGUAGUAGUGGGUGUAGCGUACCUACUAGCCUACGACGGGUACGGGUUGUGAGAGCAAGAGCCCGGAGAUGGAUUCUGAGACACGAAUCCAGGCCCUACGGGGUGCAGCAGGCGCGAAAACUUUACAAUGCUGGCAACAGCGAUAAGGGAACCUCGAGUGCCAGGUUACAAAUCUGGCUGUCGAGAUGCCUAAAAAGCAUUUCAUAGCAAGGGCCGGGCAAGACCGGUGCCAGCCGCCGCGGUAACACCGGCGGCUCGAGUGGUAACCGUUAUUAUUGGGUCUAAAGGGUCUGUAGCCGGCCGGAUAAGUCUCUUGAGAAAUCUGGCAGCUUAACUGUCAGGCUUUCAGGAGAUACUGUCUGGCUCGAGGCCGGGAGAGGUGAGAGGUACUUCAGGGGUAGGGGUGAAAUCUUGUAAUCCUUGAAGGACCACCAGUGGCGAAGGCGUCUCACCAGAACGGACCUGACGGCAAGGGACGAAAGCUAGGGGCACGAACCGGAUUAGAUACCCGGGUAGUCCUAGCCGUAAACGAUACUCGCUAGGUGUCGGCCACGGUGCGACCGUUGUCGGUGCCGUAGGGAAGCCGUGAAGCGAGCCACCUGGGAAGUACGGCCGCAAGGCUGAAACUUAAAGGAAUUGGCGGGA